GAGUGAGGGCCCUCUGGGUCCAACCUCCCACCCGUGUUUAUUUACCUUGUUGCUUCGGCGGGCCCGCCUUAACUGGCCGCCGGGGGGCUCACGCCCCCGGGCCCGCGCCCGCCGAAGACACCCUCGAACUCUGUCUGAAGAUUGUAGUCUGAGUAAAAUUUUAAUAUUUAAAACUUUCAACAACGGAUCUCUUGGCUCU
Molecule: unclassified non-coding RNA, 199 nt
Filed under: rhizosphere metagenome
Description: partial ribosomal RNA internal transcribed spacer region
Source: RNAcentral